GGUCGUAUAGUGUAGUGGUUAUCACGUUUGUCUUACAUUAUCACCAGAUAUGGGGACACAAAAGGUCGCAGGUUCGAGCCCUGCUACGAUCA
Emericellopsis atlantica is the source of this 92-nucleotide non-coding RNA. Lineage: Eukaryota; Fungi; Ascomycota; Sordariomycetes; Hypocreales; Bionectriaceae. The record is from the annotation of a RefSeq genome assembly.